This 72-nucleotide transfer RNA is filed under the name Phrynosoma platyrhinos (Desert horned lizard). RNAcentral's name for it is "tRNA-OTHER". Lineage: Eukaryota; Metazoa; Chordata; Lepidosauria; Squamata; Phrynosomatidae. The record is from RNAcentral.
GCCAGAACAGUGUAGUGGUUUGAAUGUUGGACUAUAAUUCUGAAGCCCAGGGUUCAAAUCCCUGCUCAGCCC